ACAACCCAAUAAUAUAAAGAGUGUUCCUGAGACCCAAUGUUUAAGAGUUUGAGUGUCGUGACUUCCAGCGUCAUGAUGAGCUAUUUUUGGAGAGUAAAAAAGGUGGAUUGGUGGUCCUUUGUAAAUAGUCAUUAAUAAUGCUCCUCCAAAUGUUACUAUUGUCCCAAUCACCUUUGCUAUGCUUCUUAUCUGCUUAAUAUUCACACGUUCAAUCCUGAUAAUAAAGGUGGAUUGGUGGUCCUUUGUAAAUAGUCAUUAAUAAUGCUCCUCCAAAUGUUACUAUUGUCCCAAUCACCUUUGCUAUGCUUCUUAUCUGCUUAAUAUUCACACGUUCAAUCCUGAUAAAUGGAGAACUAUAAGAUUAGCACUUUUUUUAAUAAAAAGUUACUAUAGUAAUAAUCAUC
This 404-nucleotide long non-coding RNA is filed under the name Lathyrus oleraceus (garden pea). Its description in RNAcentral is "Pisum sativum (pea) long non-coding RNA (PSAT_LNC019265)". Lineage: Eukaryota; Viridiplantae; Streptophyta; Magnoliopsida; Fabales; Fabaceae. The record is from RNAcentral.